UACGUAGGUGGCGAGCGUUGUCCGGAUUUACUGGGCGUAAAGGGCUUGUAGGCGGUCCGCUAAGUCUGGUGUGAAAUCUCCCGGCUCAACUGGGAGGGGUCAUCGGAUACUGGCGGACUCGAGGGAGAUAGAGGAAAGCGGAACUGAUGGUGGAGCGGCGAAAUGCGUUGAUAUCAUCAGGAGCACCGGUGGCGAAGGCGGCUUUCUGGGUCUUACCUGACGCUGAGGAACGAAAGCCAGGGGAGCGAACGGG
Molecule: ribosomal RNA, 253 nt
Filed under: uncultured bacterium
Lineage: Bacteria
Description: partial 16S ribosomal RNA
Rfam family: Bacterial small subunit ribosomal RNA
Source: RNAcentral